GAGUGACUUGUUGGGAUCAUGGGAGUCAAAUGAUGCCGAGGAGCUCAUGAGCUUCCCUCCUCCUUCCAAAAGCCCUCAGGAAGAGGUGGAAUUCCUCCUCUCUUUGCCGAAGAGCUGUGAGGGAUACCGGGAUGCGCGGCAUCACCUUGGCUUGAAAGAAGCUCUAGGACCGGGACUUACAUGAUCCCAAGAAGCCAUCCCAUGCAUCGUAGCUCUGUGCGACCUGGACCACAUCGCUGUGGCCAGGGCUUUCAGCUGGCGUGAGGGACAUGGAGCUUGUGAGAGCCAACAGUACGGAGGACAUCAGUGACAUGGGUUAGUGGUGGAGCUGCCAGUCCUGCCUUAAAGGUUGGACUCGACGCUCACAGAGGUCUUUUCCAACCUGGUUGAUGCUACGGGAGGAGGAAGAGGCAAGAAUUCACCUUGAAGCGGUGCAGACAGUCCAGGGACGGGUACUCCUCAAUGUCUCCAGUUCUGAUGUUGAAGCAGGCCCCAUGCCAAGGGCAGCGCAGCCUCUCCCCUCUGAAGACCCCUGCAAUAGAGCAGCACCGGGUACCCGGCCACCAUCACCUCCCAGAGCCUGCGGGAGCACAGGAGAGCCUCCUUGCAGACCUCGGUGGUGACGGUGUCGUUGCCAUCCCUGCUGCUGCCUG
Molecule: long non-coding RNA, 653 nt
Organism: Pezoporus occidentalis (night parrot)
Lineage: Eukaryota; Metazoa; Chordata; Aves; Psittaciformes; Psittacidae
Exons: 3
Source: RefSeq, a predicted model, not a curated record